This 84-nucleotide small RNA is filed under the name Cricetulus griseus (Chinese hamster). RNAcentral's name for it is "tRNA-Ser". The record is from RNAcentral. Lineage: Eukaryota; Metazoa; Chordata; Mammalia; Rodentia; Cricetidae.
CGAAGGCAGCAGGGUUGAACCUGCUUUCUACCAAUUUUUUGUGGUGUACUCUAGUUAAGAGUUCUACCAUUGAGCUAUGCUUCC